UUCGAGUCUUCGACGACGACGACGACAUCACAGCGCACAGCGCAGUUGUGGUUGCAGUUUGCUUCUUCGCUCGACAUGGGCACGGGAGGCGUAGCGCUGGUCGUCGCCGCCCUCGCCGUGGUGUUGGUGACGAGGCUGUGGACGGCGCUGGCCCACCUGGUGUGGCGGCCGUACGCCGUCGCGAGGGCGUUCGCGCGGCAGGGCAUCCGCGGGCCGCCGUACAGGGUCUUGGUGGGCAACGGCAAGGAGGUCCAGGCGAUGCGGGCGGCGACGAGCGGCGACACGCUGGACCUCGCCUCCCACGACUACAUCGCGCGCGUGAUGCCGCAGUACCGCGCGUGGGUGUCGCUCUACGGCAAGGUGUUCCUGACGUGGUCCGGCUCGACUCCGGCGCUGUUCGUGGGCAGCCACGACAUGGUGAAGCGGGUCCUGUUCGACAAGGCGGGGCUGUACGGCAAGACGGACCCGGGGCCCACCAUACUGUCCCUCAUGGGCAGGGGCCUCGUGUUCACCGACGGCGACGACUGGUCGCGCCACCGCCGCGUCGUGCACCCGGCGUUCGCCAUGGACAAGCUCAAGUCGAUGACGGGGGCCAUGGCGGCGUGCGCGGCGGAGGUGAUCCGGGGGUGGGAGGCGCGCGCCGCGGCGAGCGGGGAGGAGGGGGAGCCGGAGGUGACGGUGGAGGUGGGGCAGCAGUUCACGGAGCUCACCGCCGACGUGAUCUCGCACACCGCGUUCGGCAGCAGCUACCGUCAGGGGAAGGAGGUGUUCCUGGCGCAGCGGGAGCUCCAGUUCAUCGCCUUCGCCUCCAUCAACAGCGGCAUGCGCGUGCCGGGCACGCAGUACGCGCCCACCAAGGCCAACGUGCGCCGGUGGCAGCUCGAGCGCACGGUGCGGGGCACGCUCAUGGCCAUCAUCGACGAGCGCCUCGCCGCCGCGAAGGAGGCGAAGGGGUACGGCAGCGACCUGCUCGGCCUCAUGCUGGAGGCCAACGCCGGCGACGGCGGCGGCAAGAGGCAGCAGCAGGCCAUGAGCAUGGACGAGAUCAUCGACGAGUGCAAGACCUUCUUCUUCGCCGGCCACGACACGACCUCGCACCUCCUCACCUGGGCCAUGUUCCUCCUCGGCACGCACCCCGAGUGGCAGCAGCGGCUCAGGGAGGAGGUGGUCCGAGAGUGCGGCGGCGCCGAGGUGCCCCUCAGCGGCGACGCCCUCAACAAGCUCAAGCUCGUGACCAUGGUGCUGUACGAGACGCUCCGGCUAUACGGCGCGGUGCCGCUGAUCGCGAGGCGGGCGACGGCGGGCGCGGACCUCUGCGGCGUGAAGGUGCCCAAGGGCACCCUCCUGCUGAUCCCGAUCGCGAUGCUCCACCGCGACGAGGAGGUGUGGGGCGCGGACGCCGGCGCGUUCAACCCGUUCCGGUUCCGGGACGGCAUGGGCAGGGCCGCGACGCACCCGAACGCGCUGCUGUCCUUCUCCCUGGGCCCGCGGUCGUGCAUCGGGCAGGACUUCGCGAUGCUGGAGGCCAAGGCCACGCUGGCGCUCAUCCUGCGGCGCUUCACGUUCCGGGUGGCGCCAGAGUACGUGCACGCGCCGGCCGACUUCCUCACGCUGCAGCCGUCGAAAGGGCUCCCCGUCGUGCUCAAGCUCUUGGAACCAGCCGUCCUUGUCACGAGUUCCGGUUGAGCUAUAAUGUUCAUGUCUGACAUGCCAAGUCAUUGAUUAGGCUUCUGUCAUCUGCGACUGCGAUGUGUUUCCUCAGUUUCGUUAUCAUCAUAUUUCAGAAUGGGAGCUAUAUAAUAUUGUAAUUUUCGUGAAUGGAUGGGCCAGGUCCAGUCCACUCAUGUUUUCAAAAGAGUCAUUCGGCUUCUUUGCUGGUCCAAAGUCUCGUGAGUUGUUCAGCCCGUGUCUCUAGAGUUUGGACUAGUCUAAUCUGACCUUUUCUGCAUCAUACUCAUACAGCCCCUUACUUCUAUAGACAGGUCUGUAGUGAUGCCCGGAUAUUCCAAGAAUACCCGACUUUUUUUUUUACAAAUUUUAGUUUACAUAUACAUUUGAUGUAUAUAAUUUGUAUUUACACUAUUAUCUGUUUCUGGCUAUAAAUGUAUAUAGUUAAAUACUAUCUGUUUCUCACCGGAAAUCAGCC
Molecule: unclassified non-coding RNA, 2146 nt
Filed under: Zea mays
Lineage: Eukaryota; Viridiplantae; Streptophyta; Magnoliopsida; Poales; Poaceae
Description: misc RNA Zm00001eb374260
Source: RNAcentral